This 547-nucleotide ribosomal RNA is filed under the name uncultured bacterium. RNAcentral describes it as "bacterial SSU rRNA". It matches the Rfam family "Bacterial small subunit ribosomal RNA", at positions 777 to 1319 of the family's 1533-position model. The record is from RNAcentral.
AAUAGAUACCCCGGUAGUCCACGCCGUAAACGAUGGGUACUAGGUGUAGGGGGUAUCGACUCCCCCUGUGCCGCCGUUAACACAAUAAGUACCCCGCCUGGGGAGUACGGUCGCAAGAUUAAAACUCAAAGGAAUUGACGGGGGCCCGCACAAGCAGCGGAGCAUGUGGUUUAAUUCGAAGCAACGCGAAGAACCUUACCUAGACUUGACAUCUCCUGCAUUACUCUUAAUCGAGGAAGUUCUCCCUUCGGGGAGAACAGGAAGACAGGUGGUGCAUGGUUGUCGUCAGCUCGUGUCGUGAGAUGUUGGGUUAAGUCCCGCAACGAGCGCAACCCUUAUUGUUAGUUGCUACCAUUUAGUUGAGCACUCUAGCAAGACUGCCGUGGUUAACGCGGAGGAAGGUGGGGAUGACGUCAAAUCAUCAUGCCCCUUAUGUCUAGGGCUACACACGUGCUACAAUGGCGAGUACAAAAAGCGCAAAGCCGCGAGGUGGAGCAAAACUUNUAAAACUCGUCUCAGUUCGGAUUGCAGGCUGAAACUCGCCUGC